GCCUCUUUUAUGGGGUGACUGCGUACCUUUUGUAUAAUGGGUCAGCGACUUAUAUUCUGUAGCAAGGUUAACCGAAUAGGGGAGCCGAAGGGAAACCGAGUCUUAACUGGGCGUUAAGUUGCAGGGUAUAGACCCGAAACCCGGUGAUCUAGCCAUGGGCAGGUUGAAGGUUGGGUAACACUAACUGGAGGACCGAACCGACUAAUGUUGAAAAAUUAGCGGAUGACUUGUGGCUGGGGGUGAAAGGCCAAUCAAACCGGGAGAUAGCUGGUUCUCCCCGAAAGCUAUUUAGGUAGCGCCUCGUGAAUUCAUCUCCGGGGGUAGAGCACUGUUUCGGCAAGGGGGUCAUCCCGACUUACCAACCCGAUGCAAACUGCGAAUACCGGAGAAUGUUAUCACGGGAGACACACGGCGGGUGCUAACGUCCGUCGUGAAGAGGGAAACAACCCAGACCGCCAGCUAAGGUCCCAAAGUCAUGGUUAAGUGGGAAACGAUGUGGGAAGGCCCAGACAGCCAGGAUGUUGGCUUAGAAGCAGCCAUCAUUUAAAGAAAGCGUAAUAGCUCACUGGUCGAGUCGGCCUGCGCGGAAGAUGUAACGGGGCUAAACCAUGCACCGAAGCUGCGGCAGCGACGCUUAUGCGUUGUUGGGUAGGGGAGCGUUCUGUAAGCCUGUGAAGGUGUACUGUGAGGUAUGCUGGAGGUAUCAGAAGUGCGAAUGCUGACAUAAGUAACGAUAAAGCGGGUGAAAAGCCCGCUCGCCGGAAGACCAAGGGUUCCUGUCCAACGUUAAUCGGGGCAGGGUGAGUCGACCCCUAAGGCGAGGCCGAAAGGCGUAGUCGAUGGGAAACAGGUUAAUAUUCCUGUACUUGGUGUUACUGCGAAGGGGGGACGGAGAAGGCUAUGUUGGCCGGGCGACGGUUGUCCCGGUUUAAGCGUGUAGGCUGGUUUUCCAGGCAAAUCCGGAAAAC
RNAcentral lists this ribosomal RNA (968 nucleotides) under Escherichia coli. Its description in RNAcentral is "partial 23S ribosomal RNA". It matches the Rfam family "Bacterial large subunit ribosomal RNA", at positions 579 to 1550 of the family's 2925-position model. The record is from RNAcentral. Lineage: Bacteria; Pseudomonadati; Pseudomonadota; Gammaproteobacteria; Enterobacterales; Enterobacteriaceae.